UGGGUUGGCUAGGCGGCCGCGCGUCACGCAAGUGGCUCGAGGAACGUCCGGGCUCCGCAGGGCAAGGUGGUGGGUAACACCCACUCGGGGUAACCCGCAGGAAAGUGCCACAGAAAACAGACCGCCGGCCGGCAGCAUGGAAACAUGUGCGCAGGCAGGUAAGGGUGAAACGGUGGUGUAAGAGACCACCAGUUCCCUGGGCGACCAGGGAAGCUAGGUAAACCCCACCGGGAGCAAGGCCAGACAGGGCAUGUUUGAGGGCUGCCCGCCCAAGUGUCCGGGUAGGCCGCUAGAGGGCGUCGGCAACGGCGUUCGUAGAUGGAUGGCCGCUACUCCCGCAUCGGUAACGGCGCGGGAUGACAGAACCCGGCGUAUCGGCCAACCCAUCCA
Molecule: RNase P RNA, 390 nt
Filed under: Arthrobacter endolithicus
Lineage: Bacteria; Bacillati; Actinomycetota; Actinomycetes; Micrococcales; Micrococcaceae
Description: RNase P RNA component class A
Rfam family: Bacterial RNase P class A
About the family: Ribonuclease P (RNase P) is a ubiquitous endoribonuclease, found in archaea, bacteria and eukarya as well as chloroplasts and mitochondria. Its best characterised activity is the generation of mature 5'-ends of tRNAs by cleaving the 5'-leader elements of precursor-tRNAs.
Source: RNAcentral